RNAcentral lists this small RNA (82 nucleotides) under Marmota monax (woodchuck). Lineage: Eukaryota; Metazoa; Chordata; Mammalia; Rodentia; Sciuridae. The record is from RNAcentral.
GCUGGGUGCAGUGGCGCACACCUGUCAUCCCAGGGCUCGGGAGGCUGAGGCUGGAGGAUGGCGAGUUCAAAGCCAGCCUCAG